Molecule: ribosomal RNA, 137 nt
Filed under: Pseudo-nitzschia delicatissima
Lineage: Eukaryota; Bacillariophyta; Bacillariophyceae; Bacillariales; Bacillariaceae
Description: partial 18S ribosomal RNA
Rfam family: Eukaryotic small subunit ribosomal RNA
Source: RNAcentral
AUGGUCCGGUGAAGCCCUNGAGAUUGUGGUUAGUUUCCUUUAUUGGAAGUUAACCACGAGAACUUGUCUAAACCUUAUCAUUUAGAGGAAGGUGAAGUCGUAACAAGGUUUCCGUAGGUGAACCUGCGGAAGGAUCA